RNAcentral lists this ribosomal RNA (253 nucleotides) under uncultured bacterium. RNAcentral's name for it is "partial 16S ribosomal RNA". It matches the Rfam family "Bacterial small subunit ribosomal RNA", at positions 524 to 776 of the family's 1533-position model. The record is from RNAcentral.
UACGUAGGGUGCGAGCGUUGCCCGGAAUUAUUGGGCGUAAAGGGCUCGUAGGCGGUUUGUCGCGUCGGGAGUGAAAACCCAGGGCUUAACCCUGGGCUGGCUUUCGAUACGGGCAGACUAGAGGUAUGCAGGGGAGAACGGAAUUCCUGGUGUAGCGGUGAAAUGCGCAGAUAUCAGGAGGAACACCGGUGGCGAAGGCGGUUCUCUGGGCAUUACCUGACGCUGAGGAGCGAAAGUGUGGGGAGCGAACAGG